RNAcentral lists this transfer RNA (73 nucleotides) under Cordylochernes scorpioides. RNAcentral's name for it is "tRNA-Thr". It matches the Rfam family "tRNA". Rfam says of the family: Transfer RNA (tRNA) molecules are approximately 80 nucleotides in length. The record is from RNAcentral. Lineage: Eukaryota; Metazoa; Arthropoda; Arachnida; Pseudoscorpiones; Chernetidae.
UCCAGGGUAGCCUAGUGGACAUGGCAUCUGCCCGGUAAGCGGAAGGUCGUGGGUUCGUUUCCCGCCCCUGGAC